AGCCCAGGAACUUCACAGUGCUGAGCCUGCUUCAAGCUGUGGUUUAAAACUGAAUGAUGGUUCUAUAACUGAUCUGAUCUCUAUGUUUCAUGUUACUGCCUUGUGUCAGAAAAGCCCAGGAGACUUCUACUGGAAGCACAGUCAGUGAUGUAGUAGGAGAUGGGAAAGAACAUUUUCAUUAAAAUGCUUGAAGUUUAGUAUACUUCAAAGAGAAAUGUUAUAUUUUCCUACCUGAUAUACAAUUCUUGCAAACAAGGAAACCAAAACCAUCCUGAACUUCAAAUCAUUCUCUACCAUCUCCCAAACAGCCUCUUUAAAUCUGCUGUUUAGCAGCAAAGGGAGGAAGUUGUUAUUCUCCACAAGUACAGUGAUGUUUUGCAAAGGAGUCAUAGUUGAAGCAUAGUAAAUUGUGAGGACAUCAUGACUGCUAUGGAGCUCUGAUUAUUUAUGUUUGUGAACAUGUGUUUGUAUGUGCUGCUUCUGCUCUCCAUCAUCUGGUCUGGGAGUAUUGUGUCUGCAUCUUAUGAAACACAACAAAAUCCCAUCUCUGCUGAAAGAGGGAUUAGAGUAUGUCUUUUCUCUGUCAAGUCUGCUGACAGCAGCGUUGGAGAGAUAGGAAUAUAAACUCAGGAAUGCCAGGUUUAUUUUCUCCCAAAAGAACAUCGGGGAAGUAUGAAAAACGUGAGUUUGGGAAGAGCAAAAAAGAGUGAGAAACUGUGCAAGUGCUAAAUCAGUGUUCAUCAUUACCUGCUCCAGGAAAGACAGAAUUGCUCACAGAACAGAUCCUAGGAGGGGACAGAAGUAGCACAUGGAUUCAGUCCACAAUAUAUAUCUAGUAGGGUCACAGAUAUAGAUCUUCUGUUCACAGCACACAGCCGUGAAAGGAUGGAGUCCCAGCUUCCUUGCUUGGGUGCAGUGUGUUCUUGUAACUCAUUCUAAGAAAUGGAGCUGACGGGGAGCCAGACCUGAGGACAGCCAAACAGUAGACCUACAACCAGCCAGCUCAUGCUGAAUCUCAAAGUGUGAAUACCCUAUCCAAUGGAGAGAUAUCAGAAGAGUAUGCAGGAAAAGCUGAAACAGUCUCUUGAAAAUAAAGGAAAAUUUUAAACGGAAUGCCACAUUCAGAAUUUCACUGGACAAGGUCCUGAACAACCUAGUAUAUUUUUGAAGCUGGACCUGCUUUGUGAAGAGUGUUAGAGAAGAUGAUUCACAGAAGUCCCUUUGGAACAGAAUUAUUCUAUGAUUUUAUUCUGUGAUCUUUCAGCAUCUGACAGGAGCACAACUACAUGCGAUGCCCCCAACAGAGAGAAAAAAAGAAAGGAAUGUUCUUGUUGUGAACCUGGAAUGAAAGAAGACAAUGAAAAUGCUGAAACUUCACCACCUCUGCCUGUGCCUGCAGGAGAUAGAGCAGAGAGCUGUUAGUAAGUAGGUGCUCUCUGGAACUGCCUUU
This is a long non-coding RNA of Gallus gallus (chicken), 1450 nucleotides long. RefSeq lists it as uncharacterized. The record is from RefSeq and is a predicted model, not a curated record. The transcript is spliced from 3 exons. NCBI's taxonomy places the organism in Eukaryota, Metazoa, Chordata, Aves, Galliformes, Phasianidae.